This 481-nucleotide long non-coding RNA is filed under the name Lynx canadensis (Canada lynx). Its description in RNAcentral is "lncRNA (ENSLCNG00005022062.1)". Lineage: Eukaryota; Metazoa; Chordata; Mammalia; Carnivora; Felidae. The record is from RNAcentral.
CACGGGCAUGAGUAAUGGGAGUCUCUUUUCUUUUCUUCCCAUUCAAGAACAAGCCAGGACAAGUGAUUCUGGAAAAGGGGAGGGGACUGGCGAGGGGGAGAGGAUACUUACGCGGUGCAGAGGGCAGUGGGACCGAGCGUGGUUUUGCCGGCAGGGAGAGGAGAACACGCGCGCGCACACACGCGGCGGUGUCUUGCGGGUGAUGAAUGUGAUAAUUGGACCGGGGCCGACACAGCUGAAGGAAACAGGAAGACUGCACGUCACAGUCUGACUGACGUACCCGGCCCCAGCACCCAAUCGCGAGGCGCCUUCGGAUUCAAGGGGGGAUAGCGAGGCAAGAGAACUUGGGAGGAAAAAAAAAUAUAAAAGGGGUGGGGGGUGAGGGGCUGGGAGGAGAGGAGGGGAGAGGGGCCCCGCGCUCCCCCUCCCCCGCCUCCAUCCCCGGCCCCCACCCCCGCCCCCGCCCUGCCACCGCUUCGGG